This 241-nucleotide unclassified non-coding RNA is filed under the name Pleosporales sp. RNAcentral's name for it is "partial contains 5.8S ribosomal RNA, internal transcribed spacer 2, and large subunit ribosomal RNA". Lineage: Eukaryota; Fungi; Ascomycota; Dothideomycetes; Pleosporales. The record is from RNAcentral.
CGCACAUUGCGCCCCUUGGUAUUCCAUGGGGCAUGCCUGUUCGAGCGUCAUUUGAACUCUCAAGCUUUGCUUGGUGUUGGGCGUCUUUGUCUAUCUAGUAGACUCGCCUUAAAUUCAUUGGCAGCCGGUAUUUUGGUCAUAGAGCGCAGCACAUUUUGCGAUUUAGGCUUAAGGACCAGCGACCAUCAAGUUUAUUCUCUCGUUUGACCUCGGAUCAGGUAGGGAUACCCGCUGAACUUAA